This 485-nucleotide ribosomal RNA is filed under the name uncultured bacterium. RNAcentral's name for it is "partial 16S ribosomal RNA". It matches the Rfam family "Bacterial small subunit ribosomal RNA", at positions 27 to 507 of the family's 1533-position model. The record is from RNAcentral.
GAUUGAACGCUGGCGGAAUGCUUUACACAUGCAAGUCGAACGGCAGCACGGGGGCAGCCCUGGUGGCGAGUGGCGAACGGGUGAGUAAUACAUCGGAACGUGCCCGGUCGUGGGGGAUAACGUAGCGAAAGUUACGCUAAUACCGCAUACGAUCUGAGGAUGAAAGCGGGGGACCUUCGGGCCUCGCGCGAUCGGCGCGGCCGAUGUCAGAUCAGGUAGUUGGUGGGGUAAAGGCCUACCAAGCCGACGAUCUGUAGCUGGUGUGAGAGGACGACCAGCCACACUGGGACUGAGACACGGCCCAGACUCCUACGGGAGGCAGCAGUGGGGAAUUUUGGACAAUGGGCGCAAGCCUGAUCCAGCCAUUCCGCGUGCAGGACGAAGGCCUUCGGGUUGUAAACUGCUUUUGUACGGAACGAAAAGGCUCUGGCUAAUACCUGGGGCUCAUGACGGUACCGUAAGAAUAAGCACCGGCUAACUACGUG